CCUACGGGUGGCAGCAGUGGGGAAUAUUGCACAAUGGGGGAAACCCUGAUGCAGCAACGCCGCGUGAAGGAAGACGGUUUUCGGAUUGUAAACUUCUGUUCUUAGUGAAGAAUAAUGACGGUAGCUAAGGAGCAAGCCACGGCUAACUACGUGCCAGCAGCCGCGGUAAUACGUAGGUGGCAAGCGUUGUCCGGAAUUACUGGGUGUAAAGGGAGCGCAGGCGGGCAGCCAAGUCAGCUGUGAAAACUAUGGGAGUAACUUGUAGACUGCAGUUGAAAAUGGUGGGCUGGAGGGAAGGAGAGGUAGGCGGAAGGAGAGGUGUAGGGGGGAGAUGAGCAGAGAGGAAGAAGAAGACUGAGUGCGAAGGA
This 368-nucleotide ribosomal RNA is filed under the name uncultured bacterium. RNAcentral's name for it is "partial 16S ribosomal RNA". It matches the Rfam family "Bacterial small subunit ribosomal RNA", at positions 338 to 722 of the family's 1533-position model. The record is from RNAcentral.